CAAUGGCCAUUCAAAAGUUUCAAACACACAAGAACCGUCCUGCAGACCACAAUUCGACACAAGUGCCGAUUCACAAUAUGGGCUAUUGGCGCUUCACUCGCCGUUACUGGACCAAUCCUAGUUAGUUUCUUUUCCUCCGCUUAAUUAUAUGCUUAAAUUCAGCGGGUCUCCUUGUUUGAGCUGAGAUCAGGGUAGAUGUGCGUAGAAAUGCCUUUACGGUUGAUGCCGUUUGGACCGAACUUUUGCACAGAGAAGGAUCCGACAUGAGCCAGAAGUCGCCACUACUAGUGCAGCUCGGCCCAAAAUGUUGUCACAACAAUUUCGGCAGGAGCAGCUUAUCACACUGACGCUCAGGACAAGGCAGGAUUGCAAACCAAUUGAAAAAAAGUUGCUUUGGUCCCCUCCAUAUCCAAAGGCUGCCGCGCCCACGAAGAUUCCUUCGUGGACCCGACAAGUUGGGUGCCACUGACACUCA
This 475-nucleotide ribosomal RNA is filed under the name uncultured Dinobryon. RNAcentral describes it as "partial Eukaryotic large subunit ribosomal RNA". The record is from RNAcentral. Lineage: Eukaryota; Chrysophyceae; Chromulinales.